AAUUAAAAUAGACUUAUUUCUAAGAAAAACAGAACCACGUGAGUCUUAGGCAGCAACAGGGGCAGUUUCAGAAGGUUUGUCUCAGUCUCAAUAGAGACAGACCAAUCCUAAAAUUCUGGGCAAAAGAAAUAAUAUUUCGCCUUUUAAUUAUUCUAAUAUUUUUCUUUUUGUAUUUUUGUUGCACAAGAUUUAUUUAUAAUCAAAGUUCUUUAAAAAGAUAUUUUAAAUAGAAUUAAUCAAAGUAAAUUAAAAAGAAAUAUAUCUAUAUUAUACUUACUACUAAGUAAAAAUAAUAAUUUGGAUGCGCUUAAAAAAAUGAUGCCCUGGACUACCAUUCCUCCCGUCCACCCUCAGGGGCACCCUUAUAGAGACAAUUGUGACAGUUUCGGAUAGUUCAAUUGCUUGAUUAAUCUAGAUAUUUAUUGGUAAUAAGAUUUUUUUUUUUUGAACAAGCCAAAAUGCAAAAUAAUAAAUCACCAAGAGUGUUUCAUCUCGCACAAGGUGUGCAAAAGAGAAACACCCCAAAAAUUGUACAAAACAGUCACGAAUAUCUCAUACUGGAGCACCUCCAAAUUCCAAGGAAAACAGACAUAAAUUACAGCAUUAGACCCAUAAAAGAUAAAGGAGACCUCCACUAGUCAUGAUGAUAGCUGAACACGAAAGUAAUGAGAUUCGCCUUCAAUCACUGGAAAGAUGUCAUUUUUAGCUUGUCUGUUAAUAUAGUUGGAGCCAAUGCCUUGUUAUUAAAAACUCUGUUAUUCCUGUCCUUCCAAAUGAUUCAGACACACUCAAAUUGAUGUCUAACCAAUGGAGAAGAUCAUACCAGACGCUGCCAAAGGUUGUGCAACCAAGAAACAAGUGACCUGCAUUCUCCUCACUACCGCACCCUCCAACACAACUGAUAUCGUCAUACUGAAGAACACGACGGCGCAAAGAGAUUAUCUUUUGUCGGAAGACGGUUACGAAGAAGACGCCAAGCAAAAAUUGAAACCUUUAAUGGGACUUUCUUAUGCCAAACGUCAUUGAACAAUCCCCUUGCAAUAGGUUCAUCACCUGUUGUUAGAAAUUUAUAUGUUCCCUUAACAGAGUAACCAUUAACGGGAUCAAGAAGCCACCUCUACUUAUCUGACAAAUAAUCCUGCAAAACAAUAUCAUGUAACAAGACAUAACAUUGCCUAACACAAUCCUCCUCCCAAGUAGGGCUGGAAAUGAGCCGAGUGGAAUCGAACCUGUUUGAGUUCGACUUGGCUUGUUAAGAAUUGGCUCGGUCCGGACCUCGUUCGAGCUUGACCCGAACUUUUUUUUUCAGUCCGAGUUCGGCUCGUUUAAAGUUCACGAACAGUUUGGUUCGGCUCAUUAGGUUCAUUUCGUUUGUUCAAAGCACGUAACUUUAGGUUAGGUAUGGAAAUAAGUAAAGCCGCUUGAACCACGUAACUCAAAAGUCAAAAGAAUUUAAAUUUUUUACCCAUAAAAUAUAUUGGAAUUUAUACCAAUUUUUAAUGGACUGAACGAGACUAUUAUUACACAUAGUAAUUAACAUCGAUAUGCAACCACCAAAUUGAAUUUUGCCUUCUUGUGCCAUAUGUUUCUCUUAUUAUAUAUAUGAUCAAUUAUCUAUAAAUUUUAAAAUAUUUUUUUAAAUGUUAUAUAUAUAUAUAAUCGAGUCAUCUCGUGAACCAAACGAGCCGAACUACAUAUAGCUCAAGUUCAGCUCAAUUAAUUCACGAACUUAAUUUUCAGCUCAAGUCUGGUUCAUUUGGUUCAUGAACCAAGUUCAAUGAAUCAACUGUCGAAUCGAAUUACGAACUUUAAUCGAGUUGGUUCGGUUCAUUGUCAGCCCUACUCCCAAGCAAAUAGGCGCCUCCUCAACACCCAAGCACUCCCCAUCCUCCCAACCCUGCAUCGCCAUAUCCUCUACAGUUGCCCAUUUGUCAAUGGUUAAAUCAAAAAGGCGAGGAAAUCUUAACCGUAAAGGCACACUUCCCACCUAGUUAUCCGUCCAAAAGAAAGUGGUACCUCCCCCGCAAUCCAUGCGCAUACAUUAUCUUCAAACCAACUUCCAUCCCCCCACCCUACACCACCACGAAUGCGUGACUGCAUCCGCCACCAUAAAGAACUGUCACGCCCCCUCCUUCAGGCGCCCACCUUCCUCCCCGUACCUAGCCUUCAGGACUCGAUACCACAACCCCUCCUUAUCAACCAACAUCCUCCAACUCCACUUCCCUAGUACUGCUAAAUUAAAUUCAUACAAUCUCCGCACACCUAGCCCUCCUUCCUCCUUAGGGACGCAAAUCGAAUCCCAAUUCACCCAGGCAAUUUUCCUAAAAUCCGCACCACCCCCCCAAAAAAAUCUUUUUAAUAAAGUUGUAAGGGAAGAAAAUAUACAUGUGGGAGCCUUGAAAAAGGAAAGAAAGUAAACCGGAAGAGAAGACAGGACAAAUUUCAACAAUACCAGACGGCCAACAAAAGAUAGAAACUUAUUUUUCCACACCGAUAACCGAGACACAAUGUGAUCAAGCACAGGUUGCCAAAAACUACACCGGCGCAUAUCCGCACCAAUAUGUAAUCCCAAAUAUAUAAAAGGAAUUUUACCCGUCCAACAAUUCAUAACCGACACUGCUUCAGUCAACCAAGAGUCUGACACAUUGACACCCGUUAGCAUACUCUUGUGAAAAUUAACCUUCAAUCCGGAUGCCGCCUCAAAAAGAAUUAAAACUGCCUGCAUUGACCUCACAUUCAACCAACUCUUCUCCCCUAUAAUCAAUGUAUCAUCCGCAAAUUGAAAGUGAGUUAACUGCACCUCAUUGUGAUUACCCACAUGGUAACCAGUAAACAAAUGAGCAUCCACCAAAUACUUCAUCAUGACAUUAAACCUCUAAGCCGCUAUCAGAAACAAAAUGGAGAUAGAGGGUCCCCUUGUCGGAGCCCCCUUUCUAAAGGAAACUCCUCUGUAGGGCUGCCAUUCACCAACACGGAUGCCACCGUAGUUCCUACACACUCAGCAAUCCAUUUCCUCCAAAGAGUCGGGAAAUUCAUUUUAACCAUGACCGUAUCAAGAUAUUAUUUUUAAUCAUAUAUUUCAUUACUUUUUAACUUAGCUCAAUGUUUUAGGAAUUUAUUCCGAAUUUCAAUUUUGCUUAUUAUAUUAGUCUAAACUGUUUGUUUAAAAUGAUUUCUUUCCUAUUUAAUUUGUUGUUGAACUUUGUUAUACAAUUUCUUCUAAAUUCACAUCAUCAAUUUAAAUUUUCUCAAAUUAUUAAUCUAAAAUAUGAAAAUUCUUUUCAUCUUUGUGAAAUCAUUUAUUAGAGAAUGAGUCAUAAAAAUGAAAUGUGUUUUUUAGUUAGGCGAAUGAGUUAGAAGCAUCUAGUAUCACAUUUUAUUCAUUGUGGAAACACACACUUUUAACAUUACUAUCUAUUAUUUAUAUCUAUUGUCAAAAAACACUAUUAUUAAUAUCUUAGAAAUGCAUAAAUACAAUCCAUGCUCUCUAAAUUUUACAUGACAAUUUACCAAAUGUAUAUCGUUUAAAAAGUUUCAUUGUGAAUGAGUUUGUCUUAUUAUAUUAUUCUAAAAUGUUUCAUGAUUUUGUUGUCUAAUAUGAAAUUAUUUUUUCCUAUUUGUAGUUGAAUAUUGUCAUGCAAUUUCUUCUAAAUUCUUUUUCUCAUAUUAUCAAUAAAAAAAAGUUAUUUCAUCUUUGCGAAAUCAUGAUUGGAAUGGAGAAUGAGUCAUAAAAAUGAAAUGAGUUUUUCAUUUAGGUGAAUGAGUUAGGAGCAUCUACUAUCACAUUUUAUUCAUUAUUAAAAUGCACACUUUUAACACAAUUAUUUUUUUAUUUUUUUAUCUUAGACAUACAAAAAUACAUGUCAUUCUCUCUGGAUUUUUCUUCCAUUUUUUCCUUCAUUUAAACUAUUUAAUCAUUUUUAUAAUAUUAUUUAAAUUUUAAAUCAUCAUUUAAAAAAUUAGUGAAAUAGAAACAAUACAUUACAACAAUAGAAGUAACAAUCCAUAAAUAUUCCCUAAAAAAAAGAAUCCAUAACAAUAUUGGACACUAUAAGAAAAACCUUAUUUUAACCUUAUAUAAAAAAAUAUUUUGGUGGGGGGUAACAUCUUUUCUUAAAUUCACUUAAUUAUUUUUACCAUUUUAUUUGCUCUUUAAAAAAUUGCCAAUUAUUUCUUUUUUGAAAAAUAUUAGUUUACAAUAAUUAUGAUGUAAAAUGAUAAAAAAAAAAAAAAAAAAAAAAGUGAUAUUUACAUUUUUAAUGUUAACUAAACUACGAACUACAAUACUUUAAAUAUUUUGAAAACUCAGAAAUACUCAAGUUUAUUUCAAUUUCUAACUUUUUUAAGCCAUUCAUACUACUAAAAUCUUUUUUUUUUUUUUUUGUGGUGGCCAGGGUUUGAACCUCAGACCUUACAUAUAUUAAAUAUUGUCCAUACUAAUUGAGUUAACCUCACAAAGACAUACUAAAAUCUAUAUAACACAAGCAAAACAUGAUUAUUUUUUAUUCCUCUACAAAUUUUAUCCACAAGUUCAAUCUUUUCUUUUUUUUCCUUCCGAAAGUAAACUUGAAAUUUGUAGUUUUCACGUUUCCAUUUUUGAAUCAUAUUCACUAUUUGAGACAAACCAUUUCAUUCUAAUCCUAAUAUAUUACUCCCUCCGUCCCAAAUUGUAUGUCGCUUUAGGAAGAAAAAAAAUGUCCCAAAUUAUAUGUCGUUUUACAAUACCAAUGCAACAUUAAUGUUAUUUUUUCUAUUAUAACCUUAACUAUUUAUUACUAUCUUUUCUUUCAAUUCUUUCAUUUAUCUUUCUCAUGUUAUUUAUUAAGGACAAUUUUGUAAAACAACUCAUAAUAUCUUUUUUCCAUACAAUAUUAAUUGCAUUUCUUAAUAUGUGUGAAAUGCUCAAAACGUCAUACAAUUUAGGACGGAGGGAGUAGACACAACUUUUAUUCCUAUUCCUCUUUCCCCCAUUACCUCAAAGUUCAACCUGACAUUGUUCAUCCACAUGAAACCUUCAAGAAAACUCAUAUGUGCUAGUAAUAAUAGUGUUCCUUCACCCGUAUCAUUGACUAUAGAUACGGUUACUUCAUUCAUAGUUAUGGCCAUUAGCCAUGGUUAUGACAGAUAGUGAAUUAUUACCGCAAGUAACAGUGAAAAAACCAUGUCGGCGAGUGAAAUAGACAUAAGCUCAAGUAGUGGAUGAGUUGUUGGCUCUGACCGUGUGCUCGUUGAAGAACAAGUCGACGACUCAUAGCCAAUGACUUGGUUAAGCGAAAUUGUUUCUUAGCGUAGCGAAAGCGAGGAUCAUUGUCAAAACAACUGAUUUUGAUUAGCGCCAUUUAAUCAUAGAGUUGGCUGCUUUUCGGUCAACUAUGCAUAAGUACAAAUCACACAUGUGAAUUUUAACUUUUUAUAUAUGUUGGGGCCACCUACAAUUCAUAUGAAUUUUAACUAAGUACUAUCUUUGAAUAAUAAGCCUCAUCAGUAGUCGUAACGAUGGUGGAAUCAGCAAUGGCUGAACAAUAAUGCAGUUUUAGUUUCUUAUGUCACACCUAAUUUCAUAGUUUCUUAUCAAAAUGAGAUUAUUUUUUUUACAGAAGAUCUUGCGUGGGUUGAUUCAUACCUAACAAUUUUGAUAUUUUAGAAAGUGAUUGGAUGCCUUUUAGAAAUGCUUUGUUAGAAAUUAUCAGUUCCGAAUUCAAUCUUCCAAAGUUGAUGACAGAGAAGGCAAGUAUUCCUUGUGGUAGAGGAGACAAAUAUUACUUUCCAACUCAAUCAGUCAUUUUCGACUUCUGAUGUAGAGCACUUGCAAAGUCGUUCUUCGAGUAUAAUGUUAGCCUAAUAAGUAUGGUUACAGAACCAAGCACAAACACUGAAUUCACUAACACCUUAUCUUUUUCAACCUUUUAAGGAAAUCUUUUUUUGCCAACUUAUAAUAUGGACGAGACCGAACAAAACAUUUGAUUUAUGACUUGAGCUUGAUUCUGCAACUUAUGAGAUGGAUUAGGCUUAGGCAUCUGAGAAUAUCUUCAAACUCUUGGGAUGUGGGUUAUGCAACUGAUGAGAGUGACUGAGAGUAUCUUCAAAGUUUGGGAUUUGGGUGAACUUGUUAAAGAGUUGAAAAACGCUAUAUCUUUCUUUGCGGAAGGACCUGAAGGAAAGAUCGCUUGAUGAUCUUAUUGCUGGCAUUGCUGAUUUGUCUUUAAAUAAGAAAGUUUAAUUUUCUUUAAUCUUGAUCCAUCUAUUUUAACUCUAUUUAAGUAUUAGCAUUAGAAGCGUUAAUGAGUACAGAAAAUACUAAAGGAAUAAGAAUAUAAAGGAAGUUAACGAGUAAUUAGCAGCAAGGACAAUUUGAUUUAUAGUUCAAAUUAAAGUAGUCAACAACAUUCAUUACAAAUUGCAAAAUAAGAUAUAGUGUAUGUUUGGUAUAACAAUUGCAAAACGAAGUUUGAUAGAAAUCACGGCAAAAAACUAUGUCAGGGUAGAAGCUGGUAUUUGGAGCUUCUGUAGAUCACGAUUCACGACAAAAACACAUCAGGAAACGUGCAAAUAUGCUUUUGUUUGUUGCAAACACGAAACCAAACACACAUAGUUAUAGACUUCUAGUAGCUUAUAUACCACUACCAGUAACACAUCACAUUGAAAGUAUUUAUCACAUGAACACCAAACAUCAUUCAAAAUUAAAAUAGACUUAUUUCUAAGAAAAACAGAACCACAUGAGUCUUAGGCAGCAACAGUGGCAGUUUCAGAAGGUUUGUUCUCAGGCUCAAUAGAGACAACUGUGGCAGUUUCAGAAGGUUUGUUAUCAGGCUCAACAGGGUCAAUAGUUACAGCUUCUGAAGGCUUGUUUUCAGGUUCAGCCUCAGUUGCAGUUUCUGUGGGAUUGUUUUCAGGUUCUACCCAGAAUUCAGUUUUCUUUCCAGUUUUGGAAACAGUGUCAAAAACAUCUUGUGGCUUUACAUUUCCUUUCACAGUCACUUUUUGUUCCUUCAUAUCAAUGUCAAAUGAUUCUACACCU
This 7018-nucleotide long non-coding RNA is filed under the name Medicago truncatula (barrel medic). RNAcentral's name for it is "long non-coding RNA (MTRU_LNC004704)". Lineage: Eukaryota; Viridiplantae; Streptophyta; Magnoliopsida; Fabales; Fabaceae. The record is from RNAcentral.